RNAcentral lists this transfer RNA (74 nucleotides) under bacterium. RNAcentral's name for it is "tRNA-Gln". It matches the Rfam family "tRNA". From Rfam's summary of the family: Transfer RNA (tRNA) molecules are approximately 80 nucleotides in length. Their secondary structure includes four short double-helical elements and three loops (D, anti-codon, and T loops). The record is from RNAcentral.
UGCGGGAUUGUCUAGUGGUAGGACGCCUGACUCUGGAUCAGGUAGCCCAGGUUCGAAUCCUGGUCCCGCAGCCA